AUUGAACGCUGGCGGCAGGCCUAACACAUGCAAGUCGAGCGGUAGCAUUUCUAGCUUGCUAGAAGAUGACGAGCGGCGGACGGGUGAGUAGUACUUGGGGAUCUGCCUGAUGGAGGGGGACAACCACUGGAAACGGUGGCUAAUACCGCAUAACGCCUACGGGCCAAAGUGGGGGCUCUUCGGACCUCACGCCAUCAGAUGAACCCAAGCGAGAUUAGCUAGUAGGUAAGGUAACGGCUUACCUAGGCGACGAUCUCUAGCUGGUCUGAGAGGAUGAUCAGCCACACUGGGACUGAGACACGGCCCAGACUCCUACGGGAGGCAGCAGUGGGGAAUAUUGGACAAUGGGGGCAACCCUGAUCCAGCCAUGCCGCGUGUGUGAAGAGGGCCUUCGGGUUGUAAAGCACUUUCAGUGGUGAGGAAGGUGGUGUUGUUAAUAGCAGCAUCAAUUGACGUUAGCCACAGAAGAAGCACCGGCUAACUCCGUGCCAGCAGCCGCCGUAA
This 504-nucleotide ribosomal RNA is filed under the name uncultured bacterium. RNAcentral describes it as "partial 16S ribosomal RNA". It matches the Rfam family "Bacterial small subunit ribosomal RNA", at positions 30 to 523 of the family's 1533-position model. The record is from RNAcentral.